Molecule: long non-coding RNA, 1549 nt
Organism: Xenia sp. Carnegie-2017
Lineage: Eukaryota; Metazoa; Cnidaria; Anthozoa; Malacalcyonacea; Xeniidae
Exons: 9
Source: RefSeq, a predicted model, not a curated record
GUAUAUUUGCUUUAAAUUAGAACAGUUUUGUCUUAGUAAGAGUCAAACUUCUCAAGCAUCCCUGUUUUGUCUCGCUAAGACUCGAAUUUCCCAACAUUACAUCCCAUCCCUGUUUGGUCUCUAUAAGAUUCGACAAAUAUCCCUAUACCCAUGUUCAUCUAAGCUCUUAGAACUUGAAACUAAGAACUAAAACUCUUAGAACUUAAAACUCUUAGAACUUAAAACUUCAACCGUGUAGCAAAAGGUGAUUUGUUUUUGAGAGAGAAAUUUGGAGUUAAGUAGGUCGGAAGUCUGCAAGAGAAUUUGAUGAACUUCUAACAAGCAAUUGGCAGAGAAGAAAGAGAUCCGUUUUCAAACUGUGAAUUCGUUAAUUGAUGGAAAGUAUUGGUGGUUUUCUUAUGCGCCUUGCUGAUGGACUUCCUUUGUUCGUUAUUCCCUUAAGACACACAUGACAACCAAGAAUUGCUGUUGUCAAAAUUAUUAUUAUUGUUUGCCUGAUGAGAUGAAGACAAGAAAGAGCUUUGGCUGAAAAAUGUGAAAAGCAAUGUUACAAUUCGUUCGUUGAAGUUUGGUGAAGAAGCCAUUAUCUUUAAAGCGAUGUGCGGAUAUAAUCAACAACAACUCGAUUUUCACGUUUGCCAGCGUCAGGAAUACGUCUAAAAAGGCAAUGUUUCAAUUCGUUCGUUGAAGUUUGGUGAAAAAGCCAUUAUCUUGAAAGCGAUGUGCUGAUAAAUCAACAACAACUUGAUUUUCACGUUUGCCAGCGUCAGGAAUACGUCUAAAAAGAAAUAUUGUGAUGAAAGUCAUCUCGUAAAAAUCUAUUGUAUUUAAUUGGUGGAAGAUUUUCUUCGACAUUUCUACCAGUUUUGUCACAGCCACAAACGAAGAAUAAUGUUUACGAAGCUCAAAGCCACAUGUUGUGACAAGCUGAUGAAAACGCUUAAGUAUCUGUUCAAGGAUUAUCGAGCGUGGGAGUAAUUAUUAAAAUGUUUUUUUUUCUCAUUCCUUUUUUUUCCUUUAGAUGAUCAUCGUGUGGUACAAGGCCUGCUCCUUUUCCCUCCCUUUAGCUAGGUGCGCUGAGAGAAGGUCCCUGACAAAGGACGGGUUGCGUGUUCUUCGGAGCUCGCAUUAACGUAACGUGGUCAUGUCGGACUAGAGCGCCCCAUUAGGCUCCCGCAAUGAAAUUUUCUGAUAAAGAUACAUUCUUAGAUAAUUAAGUCAAGCAGUUACGUUAAGAAAAGUUCCUUUGUUUGUCUGAGGGAGCAAGAUAAAAGGGUCUAUGUUAUUGUGUGUAGUUGGUGUCAUUGUAAGGUUUAAGCUGGUGAGUUUACAAAUGUUUGGAUAAGGUUUGGACGAGGAACCACCUUAGCCUUGAAGGUCAAUACGGGGACAUGUAUCUUUGCAAAGGCGUCAACAAAUCCAUUAAGCCCACUUCCAUCUCAGCAACAAUGGAAGAAACUUGCGUUGCUGAGCUCUGCUGGCUGGGUGGCGUCACCGCACAUUGACCCAGCUACCCAAUGACUUCCCUGAAUUUUCAUUAUGUGAAAAC